RNAcentral lists this ribosomal RNA (475 nucleotides) under uncultured bacterium. Its description in RNAcentral is "bacterial SSU rRNA". It matches the Rfam family "Bacterial small subunit ribosomal RNA", at positions 27 to 518 of the family's 1533-position model. The record is from RNAcentral.
GGACGAACGCUGGCGGCGUGCUUAACACAUGCAAGUCGAGCGGAGAAUAUAGCAAUAUAUUCUUAGCGGCGGACGGGUGAGUAACGCGUGGGUAACCUGCCUUUUUACUGGGGGAUAACACUGGGAAACUAGUGCUAAUACCACAUAAAAUAGUGAAGUGGCAUCACUUUACUAUCAAAGGAGCAAUCCGGUAAAAGAUGGACCCGCGUCCGAUUAGCUAGUUGGAGGGGUAACGGCCCACCAAGGCGGCGAUCGGUAGCCGAACUGAGAGGUUGAUCGGCCACAUUGGGACUGAGACACGGCCCAGACUCCUACGGGAGGCAGCAGUGGGGAAUAUUGCGCAAAAUGGGGGAAACCCUGACGCAGCAACGCCGCGUGAAGGAUGAAGGUUUUCGGAUUGUAAACUUCUUUGAUUGGGGACGAUAAUGACGGUACCCAAAAAACAAGCCACGGCUAACUACGUGCCAGCCGCAGC